UACCACUCAAGCUUAGCUUGGUAUUGGGGCCCGCCCACCAGCGGCCUCUAAAAUCAGUGGCGGUGCCGGUCGGCUCUAAGCGUAGUAAUACUCCUCGCUAUAGGGUCCGGUCGGUUGCUUGCCAACAACCCCAAUUUUUAUCA
This 143-nucleotide unclassified non-coding RNA is filed under the name Leotiomycetes sp. Its description in RNAcentral is "partial internal transcribed spacer 2". Lineage: Eukaryota; Fungi; Ascomycota; Leotiomycetes. RNAcentral also lists the same sequence under 2 other names. The record is from RNAcentral.